This 253-nucleotide ribosomal RNA is filed under the name uncultured archaeon. RNAcentral's name for it is "partial 16S ribosomal RNA". It matches the Rfam family "Archaeal small subunit ribosomal RNA", at positions 474 to 726 of the family's 1478-position model. The record is from RNAcentral.
UCCCAGCACUCCAAGUCGCAGCCACAAUUAUUGGGUCUAAAACAUCCGUAGCUUGCAUUGCAAGUCUUUUGUGAAAUCGGGCAUCUUAAGUGUCCGUCGGGCAAAAGAUACUGCUUUGCUAGAGACCGGGAGAUGUGAAGAGUACGAAUAGAGUAGCGGUAAAAUGCGUUGAUCCUAUUUGGACUAACAACAGCGAAGGCACUUCACAAGAACGGAUCUGACAGUGAGGGAUGAAGGCUAGGGGCGCAAAUUG